AGUGAACGAAUGAAGAAUUAUUCCGAAAUCCUGAGCAGAGGAAGGAAUAGCUCUGACAUGUCCACA
Molecule: non-coding RNA, 66 nt
Organism: Plasmodium knowlesi strain H
Lineage: Eukaryota; Apicomplexa; Aconoidasida; Haemosporida; Plasmodiidae
Source: Rfam